UAGUGACAGAGCGAGACCUUGU
This 22-nucleotide microRNA is filed under the name Macaca fascicularis (crab-eating macaque). RNAcentral describes it as "novel_miR98-5p". Lineage: Eukaryota; Metazoa; Chordata; Mammalia; Primates; Cercopithecidae. The record is from RNAcentral.